GAUGAACGCUGGCGGCGUGCCUAAUACAUGCAAGUCGAGCGAACAGACGAGGAGCUUGCUCCUCUGACGUUAGCGGCGGACGGGUGAGUAACACGUGGAUAACCUACCUAUAAGACUGGGAUAACUUCGGGAAACCGGAGCUAAUACCGGAUAAUAUAUUGAACCGCAUGGUUCAAUAGUGAAAGACGGUUUUGCUGUCACUUAUAGAUGGAUCCGCGCCGCAUUAGCUAGUUUGUAAGGUAACGGCUUACCAAGGCAACGAUGCGUAGCCGACCUGAGAGGGUGAUCGGCCACACUGGAACUGAGACACGGUCCAGACUCCUACGGGAGGCAGCAGUAGGGAAUCUUCCGCAAUGGGCGAAAGCUUGACGGAGCAACGCCGCGUGAGUGAUGAAGGUCUUCGGAUCGUAAAACUCUGUUAUUAGGGAAGAACAAAUGUGUAAGUAACUAUGCACGUCUUGACGGUACCUAAUCAGAAAGCAACGGCUAACUACGUG
This 497-nucleotide ribosomal RNA is filed under the name uncultured bacterium. RNAcentral's name for it is "partial 16S ribosomal RNA". It matches the Rfam family "Bacterial small subunit ribosomal RNA", at positions 28 to 507 of the family's 1533-position model. The record is from RNAcentral.